RNAcentral lists this transfer RNA (83 nucleotides) under Pseudomonadota bacterium. RNAcentral describes it as "tRNA-Leu". It matches the Rfam family "tRNA". Rfam says of the family: Transfer RNA (tRNA) molecules are approximately 80 nucleotides in length. Their secondary structure includes four short double-helical elements and three loops (D, anti-codon, and T loops). Further hydrogen bonds mediate the characteristic L-shaped molecular structure. tRNAs have two regions of fundamental functional importance: the anti-codon, which is responsible for specific mRNA codon recognition, and the 3' end, to which the tRNAs corresponding amino acid is attached (by aminoacyl-tRNA synthetases). tRNAs cope with the degeneracy of the genetic code in two manners: having more than one tRNA (with a specific anti-codon) for a particular amino acid; and 'wobble' base-pairing, i.e. permitting non-standard base-pairing at the 3rd anti-codon position. The record is from RNAcentral. Lineage: Bacteria; Pseudomonadati; Pseudomonadota. RNAcentral also lists the same sequence under 3 other names.
GCGAGGAUGGCGGAAUUGGCAGACGCACUAGCUUGAGGUGCUAGCGGUUAACAGCCGUGGGGGUUCAAGUCCCCCUCCUCGCA